UGCUCAGCCAUGGCUUACAAUGUCUCUUAC
RNAcentral lists this non-coding RNA (30 nucleotides) under Mus musculus (house mouse). Lineage: Eukaryota; Metazoa; Chordata; Mammalia; Rodentia; Muridae. The record is from RNAcentral.